Transfer RNA from Baudoinia panamericana, 114 nucleotides. It matches the Rfam family "tRNA". Rfam says of the family: Transfer RNA (tRNA) molecules are approximately 80 nucleotides in length. Their secondary structure includes four short double-helical elements and three loops (D, anti-codon, and T loops). The record is from Rfam. NCBI's taxonomy places the organism in Eukaryota, Fungi, Ascomycota, Dothideomycetes, Mycosphaerellales, Teratosphaeriaceae.
GGCGUUGUAGCAAAGUGGUUACUGCGAUUGACUAGAAUCUUGUCUUGAUCAAUCAGGUCGGGCAUUUGCUAUCAAUUCCCUUCGGGGGCGUAGGUUCGAGUCCUGCCAACGUCG